AUGUCUGGGGAUGAAGACAGAUAUCCCGAGGCGCAACUGGUCACGGAGGCCGGGCCCAACUGGCUCCGCGCCGAGAUCGAGCGCUUGUCCCGGGAGCUCAGCGAGACGACCCGGGAGAAGAUCCAGGCGGCGGAAUACGGGCUGGUGGUGCUGGAGGAAAACCAACAGCUGAAACAACGCUUUGAAGAUCUUGAAGGCGAUUAUGAGACCGUCAGACAAGAGCUGGAUCAACUUAAAGAGGCGUAUGGCCAGGUUCACUCCACCCACAGAAAGGUGGCAGCAGAUGGCGAGAGCAGGGAGGAAUCUCUUAUCCUGGAAUCGGCAUCUAAAGAGGCGUAUUAUGAGCAGAGAAUGCAAGAACUACAGGCCGACCUGCGGCAAACGAAAAACAGUCUCACCAGCACACAGGGAGAGAACGAACGUCUGGCCACCCUUGCGCUGGAACUAAGAGAGAAUAAUGAGAUAGUUGAGCUACAGCGCAGCCGUCUGCGUGAUGACAUCAGAGAGUACAAGAUCCGAGAGUCACGUCUGCUGCAGGACUACUCGGAGUUGGAGGAAGAAAACAUCAGCCUACAGAAACAAGUCUCUACCCUUAAACAGGGUCAGGUGGAAUUUGAGGGACUCAAGCACGAAAAUCGCCGGUUGGAGGAGGAAGUGCAGUACCUGAACAGCCAGCUAGAAGACGCUGUUCGGUUACGCGAGAUAGCUGAGCGUCAGCUAACGGAGGCUCUAGAAACCGUAAAGACGGAACGGGAGCAGAAAGCUGCUCUUAGAAAAGAACUGACCCAUCACAUGACCCUAGGAGACUCACUCCUAGCAAGCUCAUUGGAUGGGCUUAAACUGAGUACAGACGAACCUAAUAAUGAUGACGCAAUUAUGACAUUUGAAAAUGGAUUUGCCAAAGUCGCUGACGGUAACGAUGAAGAUAACAGAUUGUCCGUACCCAAGAGAGGUGAAAACGUCCGUCCUGCACCAAGUCUGGUGGAUGACUUGUUGAGCGAGCUGAACAUCUCUGAGAUCCAGAAACUCAAGCAACAGCUCUUACAGGUCGAGCGGGAGAAGGUGGCUCUACUAACUACUCUACAGGAUUCUCAAAAACAGUUAGAACAAGCUCGAGGUGCGUUAGCUGAACAGCAGGAAGCUAUGACGAGACUUAGUGACGAUUUGGGGGUCAUGAGGAGACUGCAGGUAGGCAAGGAGCGUCAGUCGGCCCUUGACAGCGAGCGGGAGCGGGACAGUCGAGAGGACAACGAUGCUGAUUAUUAUGAGCUGGAUAUCAACGGUCCAGAAAUACUGCGUUGCAAGUAUGAAGUAGCUAUAACAGAGGCAGGCGACCUUAGGGAGGAGCUUAAGGGAUUAAAGGCGGAGCAUGAUGAGAUGAAAGAGGAGCAUGAGGAGGUACGGGCACGACUAGAGGGACAAGUUCGUGACCUCACCAUCCAAGUAUCUCAGUUGGAGGGCAUCAGCCGUGCAGACCGUGACCAGGUCGUUCGCCUGGAAAAGAAACUAAAGGAAGUGAGCGCAGUUGCGGGCGAGACAGAAGGGAGUCUUAGCGUUGCCCAGGAUGAACUUGUCGCCUUUAGCGAAGAGCUCGCAAACCUCUACCACCACGUUUGCAUGUGCAACAACGAAACCCCAAAUCGUGUUAUGCUUGAUUAUUACAAAGAGGGUAAAGGAAACAAAACUGAAAAACAUAAACAUAGUCGGUCUACACUGACGCAAACUAACGAUAGCACGGCCCAGGCACCCGAGUCCAACUCCACAACCGUGGACAGUUCUACUUCUGUGACACCAGUCAAAGAAGACCCACGUCCUGAACCGAUGGACAUCUACAACCUGGUAGCGAUAAUUCGGGAUCAGAUUCGUCACUUGCAGAAGGCAGUGGAUCGCACCACAGAGCUUUCCAGGCAAAGAGUUGCCUCUCUAGAGUUGGCUGCGGUGGCGGAUAAAGAUCAAGCUGCUUGCAUGGAAGAGAUUUUGAAGCUCAAAUCCUUGCUGAGCACUAAGAGAGAACAGAUUGCCACGCUGAGGACUGUCCUCAAGGCCAACAAACAGACAGCUGAGGUGGCCUUGGCUAACUUAAAGAGCAAAUAUGACAACGAGAAGGCCAUGGUCACCGAGACCAUGAUGAAACUAAGGAACGAGUUGAAGGCACUUAAAGAAGACGCAGCCACCUUCUCCUCUCUCAGGGCCAUGUUUGCCACCAGAUGUGAUGAGUACGUAACCCAACUGGACGACAUGCAGAGGCAGCUGGCUGCAGCUGAAGAUGAGAAAAAAACUCUUAACUCCCUCCUACGAAUGGCCAUCCAGCAGAAACUGGCACUUACCCAGCGCCUGGAGGAUCUGGAAUUUGACUACGAGCAAGCUCGACGAGGAUCUGGUUCUGGGCCGGGUGGCCGUGGGAAGGCUCGGUCUGGGCGUGGCAACGGACCGUCUUCGUUUUCCAGCCCCCAUUGACGCUAAAUCACUGUAGCGUGCAUGACUGUCUGUUGCUAGCAAUACUUGAGUUGCAUGUUAAUACCGGCAUGUUAGUUCUCUGCUUCCUGCAGUCCACUGCAUGAGGCAGAUGGGUCUGAUCUGUUGACCAUCACUCUCACGUAAUUUUAUUUUAGGUGUGAAGAUUUAAGUGUGGUUAUUUUACUCUAUGCGUCCAGAAUACACAAAAUGCAUCCCUGGUCCAGUUACGGAAAUGAAUUUUUCCCCUGGAUGUGACUUCAAGAAAAACAGGCUCCCAUUUACAGCCAGUUGAUCUCUGAAUUUGACUGUUAUAUCUGUACUGUGGUAAUCUUCAACUUCUGUUUUUAUUUUUCUGCUUUGUUGUUGUUUUUAUGUAACUUGUGCACUUUUGGGUGCAUUCGUUAAUGUUAUGAGAUGCACGUUUCAGUAUAGCACAUUUUUCUGUUGCAAAUUGUACCUAUUUAACUGAAGAAAAAAAGAUAAUAUAAGAACUUUUGUUUAUAGUAUUCGAAAGGCAUAACUGCCAGGUUUUGAGCAUAACCCAGGGAGGAACAAAUAAGGUAUAUCUUUAUGUUUUUGGUCUUGAAUAGCCAAACUUUUUAACAUUAGCUAGACAUGUAGUGUCACUCCACUAAAACAACAAAGACUUUGACUUGCUCCUAAAUAUUUUUGGAGUCACAGAUGUGUUAAAUUUACAACGUAGAAAAUAAUCAUGAAUUCCAAAUUGGAAUUUUUGUUACUUUAUUUUGCCAAGUUUUUUUGUGGUUCACAAUGCGAUACAAUAUUUGUUUUCAGACAUUGAUUACUUUCUAUUUUGACUAACUCUCAUCUUAAGCCUCAUGUGCCUUUUAUGCAGCAGGUUUUGUGUUUUCAUGAACAAUUCUGAGAGCCAUAAUCUUACGUUUCUGCUGUUUGUCUGUCUCACUACAGAUGUAACCAGCCUGAUCUCAUGAGAAUUCAUAUGUAUUUUAAGAGUUGGCUAAUUUGUAUGAAGUGAAUCGUACAAAAACAAAAUAGGAUUAUUAUAAAAACAAUAAUGAAACCACACCCCUAACCCCAACGUCACAUGUGGUCAUUUGAAUUAGCCAUGUCGUAAAAUACAUGCCAUGAGAUGGCAUUAGAUUUCACUCAUUUGGCUCUGUAACUUUGGCAUAUUGUCAGUAUGCAGACAUCUGAUUUUGUUAUUAAGCACAAUUUUUGAAGGUCAGAGUCUGUCAGAUAUUUUGUAUAGGAAAACAGUUUUAAAUGUUAGUUGGGUGUAGUAAAAUCAUACAUUCCUUGAGAAAGUAAUGAUUGCUGAUGGUGGUCACAAUGUCAUUGUUUGUCAUUAUUUUCUUGUUUGUAACCGUGCUAUCUAAUUGUUUGUAUUUCAGCAAGCAGAAAACUUUUUGUGCCAUUUCAAAUUUAGGACAUUGUCAAAUUUCGGUUUUCUUUUGACCACAAAUUAAGUGCAAUUUUGUACCGUUUCUGUCUCUUCUAUAGUUUUCUAUUUGCUGAAAACCACUUCAUCAGCCAUGACAUAGUUUUAUGUUACAUUUCAGUAUAUUUUUACACAUUUGUAUGGAAUGACCUCACAUAUGUUUGUUUGUAUUUAUUCAUAACCUUGGCUAUCGGUUCAGUAUUAAUGACUAAGUUUAUAUGCAUAUUAACUGGGGCUGCCUUUCUUUGCAUUUCUACUUGAAUUUUUACAGGUGAAGUGUAUAAACUAUGCUGCCUGUUUUUUUUUGUUUUUUUUUUUAACAUUGCUGAUGUCAACAUUGUGUUUUUUCUAAACGUUUGUGCUUGAGACUCUGUAGUUCAACAUGCAGAAGACUUUAUAGGAAAAAAAUAAACUAAUGUAAAAUA
This is an RNA transcript of Misgurnus anguillicaudatus (oriental weatherfish), 4302 nucleotides long. It is a transcript of the gene named bicaudal D homolog 2 (Drosophila), with no coding region annotated. The record is from RefSeq and is a predicted model, not a curated record. Lineage: Eukaryota; Metazoa; Chordata; Actinopteri; Cypriniformes; Cobitidae.